AGGAUUUUUUGCUGCGUCUCAAUGCAAUUUAGCUUAUAAUUUUACAUGUCAACAAUUGCUCAGGGAACAUCCUGCCACAAUUAAGCCAAAAAAAUGGCAUAUAGUACAAGACCUGAACUGCAAUGCAGUGAUUGUUCUUCAGUAUGCAUUUCAUAUGUAAGUUAUUUCUCAAAAAUUGAAAAAAAAAUUAUUUCUGCUUUGGGAUUUACUUUAGCAGUUGUGUUCUAAAAACUGACAAAAAUGAAAUGUUUCACUGAUUUUGAUAGAUCACCAUCCACAGGCGAGAGUGGCAAUUUCAAUGGCUUUUAUGUAUGCUGUAGGAAGUAUGACCUUCAUCAUCAGCAUUAAUAGAAUAUACAAGAAAAAUAAUAUCAUCUGUGUCUGUUAGCUAAAGUGAAAUGAAACCUGCAAAGUCAUGACUGAAACUUUGUUUGGUCAUAGCUAGAUAAAUUUAAAUUAUACUUGUUGCUGCUAUAAUACAAAAAUGAGAUGUAUCUCUUGAGACAGUCAAAAAAGUGAUAAAUCCAUAAAACAUCCAUUCCAUCAUUAGCAUUGAGUGGAUGUUAAAACUGUGUUUCAGUUAUUUUUGUUUGUUCAUCGUUGAUAUUUAUCAAAGAGAAACAUAGAUUCAGCCUAGAUAGCCCAAGCCAUCUGUGAUCCUUAUGACCUGAAUCCUGAAGUGACACAACUUGAUUUUUGUGUCAGUCGGGUCCAACCAUGUGAAACUUCUGGAUCAUUUUAGCAGUGGAGGUUUUGCUGAGUUACAUAAUCAAGUCAGCACGAGGUUAACUGUAUUAUUAAUAUUUCAUUAUAUUAAGAAUAUGUUACCUUGUGCAUAAGUUUUUCAUGUGGUUCAGAAUUUCUGCUGGAAACAAUUGGCUGCUGCAUGGAUUGUUCCAUGAAUAAAUCUGACUUGCAAAUGGAGCUACAUUUGUGUCAAGAACUGCAAGUGCCCUCCUCUGCUACUGUGAAGGGUUGCUGCCAGUUUUAGACCUGUGGACUGAAGUCCCACAGAGCUGGCUGCUGUUGACUUUCAAUAAGGCAAGGAUACUCUUUUUAUUCCCUUCCCAUCAAUUUUUAUAUUUUCUCCUUAUCCUGAGUUUUGUUUUAUCCCUGACACAAACCUGUGUUGCCAAGGUUCUGGAAAUGCAAGGGAUUUGGAAGGAAGAUCCUUUCACGACCUCAUCAGUUUGUGAAUGGCAUGCUGCCUGGUGCAAGUUUGAAGAGCCCUGAUACGGAUUAGAACCCUGCCUGCUGAAGCAAAGCAAUUUGAGAAGUACUCUGGGAAUAAAAGAUCCUGUUAAGAUGGCUCUACUUAGAGA
This is a long non-coding RNA of Chloebia gouldiae (Gouldian finch), 1322 nucleotides long. NCBI's taxonomy places the organism in Eukaryota, Metazoa, Chordata, Aves, Passeriformes, Passeridae. The record is from Ensembl.